Molecule: ribosomal RNA, 402 nt
Filed under: bacterium
Lineage: Bacteria
Description: partial 16S ribosomal RNA
Rfam family: Bacterial small subunit ribosomal RNA
Source: RNAcentral
UGGGGAAUUUUGCACAAUGGGGGAAACCCUGAUGCAGCGACGCCGCGUGAUUUAGAAGGCCUUCGGGUUGUAAAAAUCUUUUCUAUGGGAAGAAAAUGACAGUACCAUAGGAAUAAGGACCGGCUAAUUACGUGCCAGCAGCCGCGGUAAUACGUAAGGUCCGAGCGUUGUCCGGAAUCAUUGGGCGUAAAGGGUACGUAGGCGGGUAAGCAAGUUGGAAGUGAAAUCCUAUAGCUCAACUAUAGUAAGCUUUUAAAACUGCUCAUCUUGAGGUAUGGAAGGGAAAGUGGAAUUCCUAGUGUAGCGGUGAAAUGCGCAGAUAUUAGGAGGAAUACCGGUGGCGAAGGCGACUUUCUGGCCAUAACCUGACGCUGAGGUACGAAAGCGUGGGUAGCAAACAGG